Non-coding RNA from Podospora appendiculata, 90 nucleotides. The record is from the annotation of a GenBank genome assembly. Lineage: Eukaryota; Fungi; Ascomycota; Sordariomycetes; Sordariales; Podosporaceae.
GCCGUUAUAGUAUAGUGGUCAGUACUUCCGCUUGUGGUUCCCAAAACACCAAUCCCGCGGACAACGUAGGUUCGAUUCCUGCUAACGGCA